CAUAAGGAAAUGAACCAAUCAAAUUCCUUAUGCAUCUGUUUAUGCGCUUAUGCAAAAGUCUGUGCUCCUGCCUUAAAUCGCCAUAUCAUCAUCACGGAGAUCCAUUUAAGGACCAUCACACGACAAUCACAGACACUGAUCGAUAACUGAAUCGCAUGAUGAUGCUAGAAGACGCAGCUCUGAAACGGAUUAUUAUUCAUAUUCUAAUUAUAGACAAUCUGUAGAUUCGCGAGAGACAAGAGUUAUUUAACUCGAGUCGUUUUAAGCAGGAUCUUGGGAUGGCCCGACGCGUUCCUGCGGAAUGUCGAAAGCGUAUAAUUCUACUCGAGCUACUCGAGAUGCAUCGGUACUGUUGACGGUCGAACCGACCUUUUAGCUGCUCGUCGGACAAACAAGCCGUCCGACUUACAGCACGAUCGAAGCGAGACGGAAAUAUAUGCGCGAGAAUCGGACCGAGGGUCGGAGAGGAAAAGAGAAAAAGAGAGACACCAGACGGAGAAUACGAAGCAGCGAAAGAAAGAAGGAGGGAGAGUGAGUCAGAUAGUCGAGGUGGACGGCGGCAGAGGGAACGACAGAGGGCAUCCGCUAGAGAACGCGAGAGGGAGAGCAAAUAAUAGAAAGAGGGCGAGGCGGUCACUUGUUGCGAUCCUGUUAGUUCACCUCUUCGCCAGCCACCUCCUCCUCGUCUUUGCUCCGUUCAUCGUGCAGGUCGGUUUCUCUGUGCGUCGAGACACCACGUCGCGUCGCGUCGUGUCCGCAACAAGAGUGGCGGCGCUAGACGACCGACGGAGGGCACACGUUUGUUCCAUGGGGUGUGCCCGUUGCAUACACCAUACAGCUACGUGCGACGCAGUCCUCGCAGCGUGACAAACUCGAGCAAGCAGAGACACGUGUUGCCAUUGCAAAGAGACUUUAGAUUCCUAUUCCCGAUGUAUAACAUCAUGCGCGAUGGAUUAUAUAACAGGCGACAAACUACACUUGAUAAGUAUUUCGGUACUAUACUCGUUAUCGAUGAUUAAUCCAUAAUCUGAUAUAUUGUUUAGCUGCAACAUGCUUAGGAUCAAUAGCACACGCGGUUACGCUACCAUGAAUUUCAUCGUGUGUUCCAACCUUGUUUAAUAUCCAAGAUAGACGAGCUUUCAGCAGUUUUGCAGAGACACGUUUAAUUAUAUAAUAUUAUACAUAUAACGCUCAUUUAAUGGUGAAUGAUGCUUCUUACUUUAGCAUAAUUACAACAUAUUCAUGGAAGAUAAUUACAUGUAAUAAUAUUAAGCCGAUUUUCUAAUAGAUUUCAAAGCCGUAAGACGACGGUUACAUAAUGACUUUUUUUUAUUAACAAGCUAUUCUCCCGUGAGUUAAACGAAUGAGCAAGCAACAAACGCAUAUGACAGGCGGCAUGAAAUAUAUGUGUCACUCGUAUGAAAUAUAUGUGCCUCGUCUAUCAAACGUUUCUAAUGGCUAAGAUUAUUUCGUUCUCGUGCUGCUUCCGUCUCAAUAUGACACGAAUGAACGUGCGAUGAGUACGAUUUAGCAGCGUUCGUACAACGACUGCUAAAGUAGGAUGCCCGCGAGCGGUUUGUUUAACGAUUUAUAACAUGUACACGAUACAGUGCGAAUUACGUAACACGAUAAAAUCACAAAGAUACACGGGAGGAUGUGCUAUCGCGUUACUCGUUUCAAUAUUUCUGUAGCUCGCGCUUGACACAGGCUUUUAAACAAAAUUUCUGUAGUCUUUAUCCAAAUGGAUAAAACGGAUAAUACGAUUCGCCAUUUCACAUCAAAGCGAAAUCAACAAGGCGUGCACUAACAUGUAUAUUGCAGGAUCUUGGUGAAUUCGACUGUUUUAUGAAAAAUAUCUGGCAAUUUAUAUGUAGAUUAAACAUUUCAUCAAUGAAAGAAUUGACAGUUUACGAUUGAGAGUGAUAAUCUCAGUUGUCCCAAUUCUAAAUGGCCACUUUGCGAUCUCACGCACUGCCACAACAAAAAUAUACAAAUGUUUGAUGUACGUAUAUGUAUCAUUGGUGCUUUCUCUUCAGUUUGUUGCUACAGCAGAGAGAGAGAGAGAGAGAGAGAGAGAGAGAGAGAGAGAGAGAGAGAGAGAGAGAGAGCGUGUGUGUGUGUGAGUGUCAACACAACCUUCCUAACCAACCCUCUUCCUAGCACAGUGGCAACACAGCCCCGACCCUCUACUCUAUCCUAAAGUUACAUCACACUGUAACUAUAGGCGCGCUGCUAUCAUUGAAUCAAUAAAUACCUGCCUGGUUGUGUUGGGGACACUUGGCGGGUCAAGCUCGGCUCUCCGGGCUCUCGAGAGUGCCUAACGAUACGAUAACCGCUUAACCCUUUAACCGCCAUUGCAUCGGAAAAGUGUCUAGCGAUGCGCGCUCUGAGGCCUUUUACGAGUUGUUGAUUAAAUGACGCUUGAGAGCCAGCGUCGUUUGACAAACUGCAAAAUGGUUAAUACGACACGUCAAUAUCGGACUUUAAAAGCAGAAGCCGAUAAAAAAAGAAGAAAUCAAUUUUUAUUUUUCUCAAAAUGUAUUUUUUCGCAAUUGUCUAGCGUAACAGGAGUUCGAGUUACCUUGCGGACAAAUUAUCUUGAGCAUUCGGCGUAUUACCACACUGUGAUAUGAUGUCGAGUGGUCGCGCAUAAAUUGAAACUGCCAAGCUUUUAUGUCACCCAGCAAUAUGUGCCAGAUGCAUUAGGCGCGUUCGCGUAAUCGAUAGACGGGUUUCGUAAUUGCGCAAGGAACGUUUUACAUAACGAAUCAGAUUUUUAUCGUCUCGUAAUGCGUCGCGACGUAUAUCCCGGUGUUUAUUCAACUUACUUCUUUUUCAUUCUCUUUUUCCUUUUGUUUGUUGCAAUUACAUAUUCAAUUGCCGUGAACAUUAAAAUCUAUAUCGUAAAGCCGUAUAUUCACGCGAAUAAUUUACACUGAUCUUUAUUAAUUGGACAUUUUAUUUAAUAAUGUAUAAGAUAUCUUUCUUGAUGACGAAAUGUGGAUAUAUAUCUGCUUCCAAUAUUUGCUAGUGAGCAAACAACGAUUUGAGGAUCACUGCCAAACCAGCACCCUCAGUACGGUGAACCCUCGCUUUCUUUCUUCUAUCAUCCCCUCGUACGCUGCCUUAUCCAGCGGCAGGAUACUACGAAAUCAAGCUGCGGCAUUUGCUACCAUGUGAAUCGUGUACGAAGCUGUCCAACCCUACCUGGGCAUAAAACACUGCCACAGACACCAUAUGGUUAUGAGCGUGGCUUUUGUAUGGUGGUUUAACCUCGUUUUGCCAACUUUAAGACCGCCUAUCGCAGGAAACGACGUCGCGAGCAGGCACGUAAAAAUCGAGGACUGGGUCAAUGAUCAUUUUCGUUGUUGCUGUGACAUACGCGAUUUAUCGAACAGUAGACUCAAUUCGGCGCGUAUCAUAAUUGAAAAAUUAUCGUUAUGUUGCAUAAUCACAUCAUAUUAUAUAAUAUAACGCAUAUCCAACAAAUAAUUCUUGGAAAUACGUCUUAAAAUGUAUCGCAAACGGCCAAAGUAUCCUUUAGGAGUACUGCAUAAGAGAAACGCCAAAAAGCGCAGAUAAGAUCGCGAGAGAGACGGUUCUUAGUCAAUGACUUAUGUCUUAUUCUGCAUUUUUCUCACGGAUUUCCAGAGACAAUCGAGCAGACUUGGGCAAUCAGUGAAUGGAUCAUGCAAGAUGUCGAGUAACGAAGUUGACGAAAUCGUUCAUAUAGCAGAGAAACAGCAAUGUAAGAAAAGUGACGGCACUUAAUGAAAUAAUUUCAUCGAUCUCGAUUCUACGCACGCUGGACAGAUGAUUCGCGAGUGAACCGAAGGUAGAAUUGCGAGUUUAUAAUCAAGUAUGGACAACUACUCGGACACACGAAAUUAGUUCAGAGAAGGAGAUCAUAUGGAAAUUCUCUGAUAGUCUCAUUAACGCAAAACAACGUAACAUGUAAAUCGAGUAAAUCUUACGUCUAAUAACAUCCGCCAUUCCUGAAACGGCCAUUGACUUAAAAAACGACGAAUUGCCAUAUAUAACGUCACAUCGAUGAAUCAGACAUGUGAUAAUGGGUAGCAUUAUAUGUUGCAGUCAAGUUAAUGCUUAGUUAAUGAGAGUUUUUGACAAGUUGAACUUUGACACCAAAGUCAAACCGAAGAAUUACAAUUUCCUAAUCAAAUGCCAACAGACGUUUACUUUAUCGUGGUAUUAUCCUCAUUAUUAUAUUAAUUGAUUUUUUUGGUGUGUGUACUAGCUCCUCUGUUAUCCUACACAACAGAGCGCGGAACAAACAGAUCCAAAUACCAUUACACUUACAAUUUCGAGGAUUAAUCAAGAAAAGUAAAUGUAUUCAUUAUUUUAUCUACAGCUUGUUCGAAAAUCACCAGGAACAUGAUUCAACUCAUCUUCCGCCUGCAUUACCGUAAGAUGCAGUUGAAAACCGCUGCAGAACACUCAGCUGGAGCUCUGACACGAGGUACUUCGCCGAGAAGAAAAGAGACGACGAGACGGCAACAGCGCGGCGCUCGACGGACGGGUGGCACCGCUUCCACGCGCGCGCACGCGAGCGAGGAAAAACAAGGAUAAAAGAGAAAGAAAAGGAGCAAGAGAGAAGGAAAUGCGUUGAGUGAGAGAGAGAGAGGCACAUGUACGCAACGUGCGUAUAUUCGUGUAUUCGUGUAUUCGAGACGAGGGAGAAGGGGAGGGAGGAAAAGAGAGAGAGAGAGAGAGAGAGAGAGAGAGAGAGAGAGAGAGAGAGAGAGAGAGAGAGAGAGCCCAUAUGUUCUCACGCAACAGAGAGAAACGGAGAAAUGCACAGGAGAGUGCAUUGCGUGAAAUGUACCGCGCACGUACGCAUCCGCACGCACCCACACACGCGCACGCGUAUCCUCAGUGAAUCUCUCUUCUGCAACCUCCCCUCCUUCGCACGUUCCACAUCUCCACGCGCGAUUUUGUAGCAAUUGGUAAACCAUCCGACGACACGUACGAGUCGCAUCUGGCUCGGAUGCGUUUACGCGACUUCUAUACGCGUCUAGUCGUCGCGAGAGAAUUCGGCGCCAGGAAGCCGAGUAGAAUGACGAUGCACGCACGAGGGACAUUUUUCGAAAUGUAUAUAUCUUUCACGAUAUUAUUUGGUUAUUGCAUAGUUAUUUAAAGAUGUAUCUUUACAAUUAUACGCUUAAAUAUUAAUAUUUGAAUAAAGCCAGUGCACGUAGGCGCACCUUUUGCACGGAUCUUUGUUAUACCGCUCGUCCACAAAGAGCGGAGAAAGUUUCUCGUGCGAGUCACGCAAAAGCGCGGGGGAAUCGCUGAAGACGACGGAUGUGCAACGCACGUUGCACAACAUCCGUUUUUACCAAAGUCGUCGAUUAUUUAAAAAAAGGAAGGAAACUGCGGGCACCGUGAUUAUAUUACGACGAAACCGAAGGGUUAUUCAUUAAACUAUCAACCAUUUUCGUGCCAAAGUAAUAAGAGUUGUAAUUUUACGCCGAGUAACCUGGUUUGAUUCCACUUGACAAAAGGAGGGUGUGUAUGCAUAUAUGCGAAUAAAUAUAACUAAAGAUCGCAACGAAUUAUCAUAUGUACUUUUACGCAUUGCCCGAUCCCGAUUUUUUCUCUUCUUGUGGCAAAAAUGGAAAAACAGUUGUCACUGAUGAAUGAUCGUGACCUGAUUAUUUAGAAACAGGAGACAGGUGCCAGAUUCUUAAAAUCCAGAUAUACAUGAAAUAUGCAUGUCAUGUUAUCUUAAAACUGUAAUGAGUCGUUGGGGAGUGAGUUAUCAGUUUUUCUUUCGGACAAGAUUAGUAUAUGUACAAAUUGAUUGUUCUAUAACGGAAGUGUCACGAACCGAUAUUAAUACCUGAAUUAUUUUCUAAAGUGUUAGUCAUGUAAGAGUAGAGCGAAACAGGGAGUCUCUUAUUUAUCAUUCAAACGAUAGUUUUGUAAUCCGUGGUGCAUGACUGUUUCUCGAUCUGCAUGCGAAAUUAUUAAUAUUGUCGAUAAAUGCUCAGCGUAAACGUGAGCAUGAUUCGCGCAUGGAUCGACGAUCAUUUUCACCUCGUAUGUACGAUCGUCUAACUCGACCAGCGAUACGUUUAAAAUUUCAUGACGGUUAAUAAACUUUACGCAGACACACAUAUGUUAAUAUUACCGAAUCGUUUCAUCGCACUUUGUAAUUAUGUAUGUGAAUUUGGAAACAACAAAUUGAUGAAUGCGAUGAUCCUACUGUCUGUAAUGAUUCGGUAAGUAAAUUGCUUUAAUUUGUGUCCAAUUUCAUUUAAGGAAAAAACUUUGUUAAUUGAUAAUUAAAUUUGAAAUCUCCUUUCCUUCCUUUAGGUUUCCUUGUGUUUUCAGAAUAACGUUACGAAAUAGCAAUUAUUAUAAUUGCCUAAUCAACUUACGAAACAUUUCGCACAAACUGCAUCGAAGUCGUGCAUAAAUUCAGUCUCAAAAGAGAUUACAUGUGUAUGUGAGGAGAUUCUUUUUUCUAUCCCAUCUUUUUCCACAAGUGUUGCACAUAAGAUCCGUGACUGCGAUGGAAGAGAGAAGAUGAGAGAGAGAGAGAGAGAGAGAGAGAGAGAGAGAGAGAGAUUCAAGAUCUAGACAAUUGCAUUAUUAUUCCGAUGGUAUCCCGUACAAUAUAAUAGCGAUACUCUUUCUACCACUUUUCGAUUCCAUCAGGAGAAUCCAACUCGAGCCCGAAGUAACAAAGGACUCACGCUGGGCCAUUCGAAUUUUAGGCUGCAUUAUCUACACACGUGAAUUCUAUUUUUUCCCUUCGCGCGUUGUUAUGUCGAGAAAUCCCAACCAAUGGCUUCUAAACUGCGGGUUGAAACCGUACGGUCAACGGCCAUUUUCCCCCAAACUAGAUCGCAUUAGAACACGUGUAAAAGUGCCCUAUAUACAUCUUGUGCGUUUCCUCAUUUAAUAUUCAUUGAAGGCGAUUUUUCUUUGAUGUAUGUAUGCGUCGACUACCACGACUAGUCCUCGAAAUCCGAGAUACUCUUCAGCUCGAUAAAAUUCUAAUCGAGUCUCGAGCUCCUAGAACCGUUUCAGCAUCGAAGCUUUGUUUCAGGUUCGUCAUCGAACCUAAAUAUCUAAAGAAAUAUCUGCAGCAGGCGGCAUGUUAGCUCAAAUGCAAUUUUUGCUUGCCGCCGGUUUUACACUGGGAAAAAAAAAAAAAAAAAAAAUUGUUCAACGAAAAAAAAAAUUAUUUGACUUAACAAAAUGCUGCGGUCGGAUACGUUCAAAUAAAUGUCAAUGUAAUAAGAACUAAAUAUUUUGUUUAAUGGUUACGAUAUUUUUAAAUUUGGUCCAACCAAAUUUAGUUAUUGCAGACAAAAUAUUUAUUUAAUUCUACAGUAUAUUUAAUUGAAGAGAAAUUGUUGUUUUGAUGUUUUGAUGACUCAUAAAAUAGCAUUAAUUGAGAUAACAAAAAGAUGUGUGUGUCAAACAAAAAAUAAUGAAAGAACAACAAAAUCUAUGUUUAAAAUAAGGAUGUAGUUUUUUCGUUCGACUUCAUUAUAGUUGAAACCUAUAUAAAUCAAUAUUACCGCGAACGUUAUAUUUUUUCAUUUAACCAAGGAUAUAGUCAGAGUGACAAAACGUAGAGUAGGACGAACUUUAUGUUUAUUUAACACAACACAAUAUCCUUUUAAUGAAGUGAAAUAUUUUGUUUAUUUUGUAAUAAAUUAAAUUGAAUG
This 7703-nucleotide unclassified non-coding RNA is filed under the name Ooceraea biroi (clonal raider ant). RNAcentral describes it as "uncharacterized LOC105283077, transcript variant X8". The record is from RNAcentral. Lineage: Eukaryota; Metazoa; Arthropoda; Insecta; Hymenoptera; Formicidae.